This 497-nucleotide ribosomal RNA is filed under the name uncultured bacterium. RNAcentral describes it as "partial 16S ribosomal RNA". It matches the Rfam family "Bacterial small subunit ribosomal RNA", at positions 28 to 507 of the family's 1533-position model. The record is from RNAcentral.
GAUGAACGCUGGCGGCGUGCCUAAUACAUGCAAGUCGAGCGAACAGACGAGGAGCUUGUUCCUCUGACGUUAGCGGCGGACGGGUGAGUAACACGUGGAUAACCUACCUAUAAGACUGGGAUAACUUCGGGAAACCGGAGCUAAUACCGGAUAAUAUAUUGAACCGCAUGGUUCAAUAGUGAAAGACGGUUUUGCUGUCACUUAUAGAUGGAUCCGCGCCGCAUUAGCUAGUUGGUAAGGUAACGGCUUACCAAGGCAACGAUGCGUAGCCGACCUGAGAGGGUGAUCGGCCACACUGGAACUGAGACACGGUCCAGACUCCUACGGGAGGCAGCAGUAGGGAAUCUUCCGCAAUGGGCGAAAGCCUGACGGAGCAACGCCGCGUGAGUGAUGAAGGUCUUCGGAUCGUAAAACUCUGUUAUUAGGGAAGAACAAAUGUGUAAGUAACUAUGCACGUCUUGACGGUACCUAAUCAGGAAGCCACGGCUAACUACGUG